This 1524-nucleotide ribosomal RNA is filed under the name uncultured Lactococcus sp. Its description in RNAcentral is "bacterial SSU rRNA". It matches the Rfam family "Bacterial small subunit ribosomal RNA". Lineage: Bacteria; Bacillati; Bacillota; Bacilli; Lactobacillales; Streptococcaceae. The record is from RNAcentral.
AGAGUUUGAUCCUGGCUCAGGACGAACGCUGGCGGCGUGCCUAAUACAUGCAAGUUGAGCGCUGAAGGUUGGUACUUGUACCAACUGGAUGAGCAGCGAACGGGUGAGUAACGCGUGGGGAAUCUGCCUUUGAGCGGGGGACAACAUUUGGAAACGAAUGCUAAUACCGCAUAAAAACUUUAAACACAAGUUUUAAGUUUGAAAGAUGCAAUUGCAUCACUCAAAGAUGAUCCCGCGUUGUAUUAGCUAGUUGGUGAGGUAAAGGCUCACCAAGGCGAUGAUACAUAGCCGACCUGAGAGGGUGAUCGGCCACAUUGGGACUGAGACACGGCCCAAACUCCUACGGGAGGCAGCAGUAGGGAAUCUUCGGCAAUGGACGAAAGUCUGACCGAGCAACGCCGCGUGAGUGAAGAAGGUUUUCGGAUCGUAAAACUCUGUUGGUAGAGAAGAACGUUGGUGAGAGUGGAAAACUCAUCAAGUGACGGUAACUACCCAGAAAGGGACGGCUAACUACGUGCCAGCAGCCGCGGUAAUACGUAGGUCCCGAGCGUUGUCCGGAUUUAUUGGGCGUAAAGCGAGCGCAGGUGGUUUAUUAAGUCUGGUGUAAAAGGCAGUGGCUCAACCAUUGUAUGCAUUGGAAACUGGUAGACUUGAGCGCAGGAGAAGGAGAGUGGAAUUCCAUGGUGUAGGCGGUGAAAUGCGUAGAUAUAUGGAGGAACACCGGUGGCGAAAGCGGGCUCUCUGGCCUGUAACUGACACUGAGGCUCGAAAGCGUGGGGGAGCAAACAGGGAUUAGAUACCCUGGUAGUCCACGCCGUAAACGAUGAGUGCUAGAUGUAGGGAGCUAUAAGUUCUCUGUAUCGCAGCUAACGCAAUAAGCACUCCGCCUGGGGAGUACGACCGCAAGGUUGAAACUCAAAGGAAUUGACGGGGGCCUCGCCACAAGCGGUGGAGCAUGUGSUUWAAUUCGAAGCAACGCGAAGAACCUUACCARGUCUUUGACWUACCUCGUGCUAUUCCUAGAGAUAGGGAAGUUCYUUCGGRACACSGGAUACAGGUGGGUGGCCAUUGGUKGUCGUCAGCUCGUGUCGUGAGAUGUUGGGUUAAGUCCCGCAACGAGCGCAACCCCUAUUGUUAGUUGCCAUCAUCAAGUUGGGCACUCUAACGAGACUGCCGGUGAUAAACCGGAGGAAGGUGGGGAUGACGUCAAAUCAUCAUGCCCCUUAUGACCUGGCUACACACGUGCUACAAUGGAUGGUACAACGAGUCGCGAGACAGUGAUGUUUAGCUAAUCUCUUAAAACCAUUCUCAGUUCGGAUUGUAGGCUGCAACUCGCCUACAUGAAGUCGGAAUCGCUAGUAAUCGCGGAUCAGCACGCCGCGGUGAAUACGUUCCCGGGCCUUGUACACACCGCCCGUCACACCACGGGAGUUGGGAGUACCCGAAGUAGGUUGCCUAACCGCAAGGAGGGCGCUUCCUAAGGUAAGACCGAUGACUGGGGUGAAGUCGUAACAAGGUAGCCGU